CUCUCUUUCUCUCUCUCACCCACACACCCCCACAUAGUUUCUUAUUUUCAGCUUCCUCUUUCGAGGGCUCUAUUGUCUUUCUAUUCUGGAAUUGGAUUCCCUUUGAAUUUGCUUUCCCUGGAAAAUCCAUUUUGCAAGAUCUGAUACACCUGUUAGCUUGUUUAUAUACUGCAUGCAUGGGGUAUGUUUUCUGUUUCUUCUUCCCGGAUUUGGAUUUAUAGGGAGAUUUUGCUUGUGGGUUUUUAUUUUUAUGGGGGGAUUGUAUUUGUUUGAUUGUGAAUUUGAGUCUGCUGUACUUGCUUUGUUCAUGGGGUUUAAAUGAUCGAGCUAAUUUACUAUAUUUGGUUGCCCACGGAACUUGGAAUUUUGUUUUUCAAAAUAAGAAGAGAGAUUAUGCUCACCAGUUAUGGACUCUGUAUGGUUAUCUAAAGAAUUGUUGAAAAAAAAGUAGGAAUUGGGUUCUGUAGUUUUGUGUUUCCUGCAUUUUAGUUUCUAUGGUAUUGACUAAAUUAAGCUCACUAAUAGGAUCUAUUAAUUUCUGCAGAAGCGACGAGGUUAAGUUUUCUAUUGGUAUGGGUUGGAAAAUUAAAAACCAGUUGAAGUUUAAAAGAUUAUGUAGUUUAAUAUCAUAUUUUGUUUUGCGAGAAUUGAAGUUUGCUUUUGUUGGGUGGCAUCAAAAGAGGUCCUAAUAUUUUUGAAGAUGAUGGGUUCAGAUGAUAGAAAGCUCUUGCUAUUUUACUGGAAGUAAUCUUGUCUAGUUGUCUUGUUUUUAGACAUCUGUUUCAUUAGUUGUUGGUGCAUUCUUGAAAUUAAUGAAACUAGAUUUGUGAAAGUGGUCAUAUUACAUUUGCAUGUUUUUGUUUGCUUGAAUCUAUUCAUUCAUGUUUGGUUCGAUGUGAGGCUGCAGGCACAUGUCAGUUUUGACAUUUUGCAUGAGGCUCACAGAAAAACCACAAGAAAUGAUUCAUCUGUUGGUGGAAGUUGAUUCUACAUAAUCUCAUCAUGCAAAAGUUAGUAUUUAUUCUGCAUGAUUGUCCUCUAUGCAGGGCUUCAGUGUUCCAAAUCAAAUGUAGUGCUUGACUAAAGAUACCUUUGCAUCAAUCUAGUCAUUCUCAAAACCAUAAAGCCUUUUAUUACUAUGACACAUGGUGAUUACAGCCAAAAGCACAUCUUGGUUUGUACAUGAGUAUAAUCCAGCUGAGGCAUUGCCAAGUAAUUGACUUGUAGCAGCAUGAGCUAUAGCUUGCUUGGGCAAUACAUGGUUUCUCUGAGUGAGAAAAUUCAAUGAAUUUGCUGCUUCUCCUGUAGCCAGACAAUUUUCUCUUAAAUAAGUGCCUCAAAUGUUAUACUCUGUUGUGAAUUUCAAACGUUUGUCAAUCAAACUCUUACCAUGCAUAUUAUUUAGAUAAAUUAUUUAAGUGGAGUACGACAUUAGGUUUCGACCAAGCCAAUUAAAGUGCAACAUAUCAGCUUUAGUGGGGCACAUGGUUGAUUAGGUGAUGAUGCCCAAACUAUGAAGUUGAUAUGUUGUGUUUUAGUUUACUUUGUCUGUACUGAGUCAUAUGCAUACGUCUGUACUGGGUGGGCAUUGAAUUGUCAUGCUAAAAUGGCUCGGUAAUCUGAAUAAAAUCCCCACUAUUGAUCGGAGCUUACCUAAAACUCUCUAGCCCUAUUUUCUUAUCUUUCUCAGUUUACAAACUAUAACAGUUGAGGGUACUUAACUAUGUUAUUUUGCCAAUUCAGUGUCAGAGCGUUAUAGAUGCAUCCCUUCGAUUCUACUGCUAUCAGUUGUAAGGUAUGUGACAAAAUCAAUAAAAUUUGAACAAUUGGAUCAAUCUCAAAAUUCAUGAAAAAUUCAGAAUUUAUUGGAUCAUUAUUCCUUGACACUAAUUUGCAUGAGAGCAUGGUUUAAAUUAUCCAGGAACAUAUGUUCUUUCCAGGACAUUGUUUUUUCGCAAAACUCCCUCUCCCUCUCUCGUCUUCCAUAUUUUUUACUUUUGGGGUGCUCCCUUUCCUAAAUUUGUUCAUAUGAUCCUUUUUCUCUUAUCUGUUCAUUUUCCUUUGUCAAAUUUCUUUUAUGAUUCGACAUAACAAUUGCUUUGAUAAACUGAUGUAAAAGGAUCUAUAGUUGCUUGGAUGUAUUGGAUAUCAACAUUCUCAAGCAUGUACAACUAUUUCAAAAUUGUAUCUUUCUUUCUAUUUUUAGAGAUGAAUAUGUAUUUUAUACUUCUGAAUACUCCCAAAUGCACAUUUAAUCACAUUUGAGCUUCAAUGCACCACAAUUUUUAGUACAGUAUAGCCAUAUAAUGUUGAUGAAAGGUAUAAGAAGAGUUUGUGGCAUUUGUUUUGGAACCUGUGGGAUGAAUGUUCCUUCUAUAUUAAUGAUUCAUGGAUUCUAGCUUGUUUAGGGUGUUCUGCUUACCUUUUUUCUUGCCAAUGAAUAAUGAUGUUUUGCAUAAGCCAUCAAUACAGCACGACGGCUUUGCAAGGGUUGGUGAAAAUGUGAUGUUCUUGUGUGUAUUUAGCCAUGUGAAGAUGUGUGUCCUGUUCUAUCCUUAUUAUUGUUUCUUUUAAUUUUUAGUUUGAGGGUUUACCAUGUGAUUUUGUAGUUGUAUCUUAUAUCUGCAUCUGUAUCAUUUGGCCACACCUAUAUUUCGUAAUGGUUGUUAUUCUUCAGCUAUAUGAUUGUAUGUGAUUUGCAACAGAGCAGUAGUUGUCUUGGAUGCUACAAGAAACCCACACUAAUUACUUCAGUAGAUGAGCCCUCAAAAGGAUCAAAAAUUCAAGGUCAGACAGUGAAAAAACCUAGCAUAUCAGAGGAUUUCUGGACCACCAGCACUUGUGAUAUGGACAAAAGUGCAGUUCAGUCACAGGGAAGCAUGUCAUCAAUCAGCACAAUCAACCAGACACAUGAUCUGCAUGGUGGCUCAAGUAGCACUAGUGCACCUGCUGAAUUUGUAAACCAUGGUCUUCUUCUCUGGAAUCAAACAAGGCAGCGUUGGGUAGGAGAUAAAAGGUCUAUGAACCGUGCACAGCAGUCUCAGGAACCAAAAUUAAAGUGAGUUGCUCUCUAUUCUUCUGAAUUGGUCAAAUUAAAAGCGAGUCUAUCAUAUGCAUCAUUAACUUUCUAAUACCUCUGUAUAUGUUUUGCAAGCAAAACUUGUAGUAUAGACGUAGUGUUCACCGAGUUCACAAGCUUGAUUUAUCUCAUGAUGCAAUUUGUUUUGAUAUGUGUCAUCAUUUAUUAAUACAAAAGAUUCUUUUUGUUUAAGAAAUGAGCAAAUCAUAAAUUCGAGAGCAAUUUUCAACAUUGCUAGUUAGUUCGCAUUUUGCAUUGAGUUGGGUUUUCCUUCCUAUCCACAGCAUCUCAAAUAAUUAUCUAUAAAUGACAGAAUUCUGAAGUAUAUGACAUUACUGUUUGGAAUGAUUUUCUUUACAAUCUCUCACUCUUUCUGAAUAUAAAUACUAUUUAUGUUUUAAAAGAAUACUUCGUGACUUCAAAUUUUUGUGAAGAACUAAGUGGAAUAAAUGUGUCCUUGUUGGGUCAAUUCUUCUGACCAUCAUUGAGUUGAGAUAUGAAUAUAAGUAGAAAUUAUCUCAUGCCAUUCCGAUUGUUUCUUGUCUAGUGCUUGUUUAUAGGGUUUUACUAAUAAAAGUUCGGUGCUGUUGUUCCCUUGAAAAUGUCAAGAUUGUUGAAACAUCAAUACAUUAGCCUGUGAAGAUUACCUAUGUCUAGGCUUCCAAGCAUUACAUGUUAAUGUGGUGAAAUAUUCACUGGAACACAUUCGUAGUUGUCUUAAAGAUAAACAUUGAUCAUUCAUGAACUGUUUCUGGUUAUUUUGUCAGCACUCAUUGUCUCUGCAUCGUUAAAAACUUCUGGCUUUGCUGCAGUUGGAAUGCGACAUAUGACAGUUUACUUGGAAGCAACAAACCGUUCCCUCAGCCAAUUCCUCUUUCUGAAAUGGUAGAUUUUCUAGUGGACAUUUGGGAGCAGGAGGGCAUGUAUGAUUAAGCAGUAGGAAGUACAAGACAAUUGAAGGUUAGAAUGAAAAUCCCUGUCAAUUGAUGUCAUAUUAAGAAGCUGAUGAACAAACCGUGGUGUGUGUAUUAACUGUAACAUUAUUUGUCAUAUGCCCACCCGGCUUUUGUUUCUCUACAGGCCAUUUUUAGACAUGACUCUGUAUUGCAUUCAAACCAAUCAAAAACAUUGGCUGCCAAUGCUUUUCCUGGGCAGCAGUUUUUCGCUUAUGCAUUGAAUUAUUAUUAUUAUUAUUA
RNAcentral lists this unclassified non-coding RNA (4275 nucleotides) under Hevea brasiliensis (rubber tree). The record is from RNAcentral. Lineage: Eukaryota; Viridiplantae; Streptophyta; Magnoliopsida; Malpighiales; Euphorbiaceae.